Long non-coding RNA from Felis catus (domestic cat), 5551 nucleotides. RefSeq lists it as uncharacterized. The record is from RefSeq and is a predicted model, not a curated record. The transcript is spliced from 8 exons. Lineage: Eukaryota; Metazoa; Chordata; Mammalia; Carnivora; Felidae.
GUGGAGCCCGAUGCAGGGCUCAAACCCACAAAAUGCUAUAUAUGACCUGAACUGAAAUCCAGAGUCAGAUGCUUGACUGACUGAGCCACCCAGGUGCCGGAAGUAAAAUGUUUUUGAGAUUUACACAUUGUUGCAUAUAUCAGUACCCUACCUUUUUAUUGCUCAGUAGUAUAUCAUUGUAUAAAUUGUCAGUUUAUCCCUUCUUUUAUUGAUGGACAAUUGAGCUGUUUCCAGUGUUAUGCUAUUAUGAAUAAGUCUGCUAUGAACAUUGUGUACAAGUCUUUAUGUGGACAUAUGUUUUCAUUUCUCACAGUUAAAUACAUAGGAGUGGAAUUGCUGUAUCAUGUGGUAAGAAUGUGUUUCACUUUACAUGAAACUGCAAAACUCUUUCCUCAGUGGCUUUAUCUUUUUGUAUUCUCACCAUGAUAUAUGAGAGUUCCAGUCUUCCCGUGUCCUUGUCAACAUUUAGUAUGUUCAGUCUUUAAAAUUUUGGUUAUUCCAGUGAAUGUGUAGUGUUAAAUCAUUGUGAUUUUAAAUUGAAUUUUUUUGGUAACUUAUGAUGUUAAGCACUUUUUUAUGUGCUUAUGUGUUUCCUUUGUUAUUUGUUAGUUUCAUUUAUUAAUAUCACUAAUAUUAUGAAUGAUUUUGAAAAAAUCGUGAGUGUUGACUUUUGUAAAAUAUUUUCUGCAUCUAUUGAGAUGGUUUUGUCUCAUUUUAUGUUCUGUUAAAAAGAUGAAUUAGAUGGAUGGAUAUUUUCAAGGAACUAACUUACAGUUUUGUUAAUAAUUUGUUUUAUUUUCUUCUUUAUUUUCUUUGUCCUACUUGCUUUUGUUGUAGUUUGCUCACAUUUUACUGGAUUCCUAACAUGGACUUUUAAGUAUCUGAUUUCAAGUCUUAUUUUCUAACAUAAUCACUUAAAACUACAAAAUUUCAUCCAACGACUGCUUUACUCGCAUCACACAAAUAUUGAUAUGUUGUGUAUUUAUCAUUAUUCACCAGAAAGAAUGUCCAAUUUUCAGCCAAUUUUCAAAUCUUUUAAAUCGUACCAUGUUGGUAACUGUAUUUAUUGCUUGUGCGUAAGGCUCCAGGUAUCUGCUUUCAUGACCUGUGUUGGCCACAGUUAUCAAAAUAGUAAAAACAAAAACAAAAACCAAAACCUUGUGCCUAAUCCCAGAGUCAGUCAUCCAAAAUUAACUAAUGGCAAUUUUGUCUGUGUUUUAUAUUUGAAGUUGAUUCUACAAAUUGAUCAUCAUGGAACCUAUCUCAACCUCCAUUAUCAUAGAGAUAUGAUUCUGUUCACAUGUGUAGUCCUUGGAAAAUGUAUUAAAAACAUGCUUCCCCCUUUUUUGCCUGUCCAUUUUCCAAACUCCUUUUAUAUUUUAAGAAAUAUCUCAUUCCUAGAAUCUUGGUUGGAUCCAGAGCCCCAGUUCCCAGUACAGAAGCCAAAGGAUGACAAACUUUCCUUUCCUCUACCCCUGGCAUUUAUGUUAGUGAUAGAUGUAGGUGAUAUUAGCUCAACAGAUAGAAUGCUUCUGCCUGUGAUACUGACUCCAAAGUAGUAAAUACAAAGACGGAGGGACAGUUGAGAAUAUAGUACCAGUUGCAUUGUACAACAAUGACUGCAAUGGCAUCCAGUGGUUUCUCCAGUAAUUCCCAGUGACGGGAUCUGAUGGUUCUAAGGGCAGUGGAGCUAAUGGCUGCUUUCUGACCAGACUGGUUUUACAGGGUGACCUCACCUGAUGCUCUUCUGCCUGUCUGUUUGGUUCCUGCCUAUUUAGGGAGCCUGAUAUCCAGUUUUCCUAACAAUUCUUAAUAUCCUACAUCUUUCCAGUAAGACCCACUUCUGCUUAAAGUAGAACUGAUUUUUCUUUCUUGAAACUAGGAAACCUAACAGUUAUAGGACUCAAGGACAAAGGUCAGAAGGACAGUUUGUUGCCAAUAAAUAGAACUUCAAUAAAUGAAAAUCCAAUGUAUGUAAUUCUCGUUACUAGGUAGCAAUAGCACCAACUUUUCAGCUUGAAGCUGUAAGUUAGGGGAGUACGUGUAACAGAAUUUAUCGUAUUCUUAAGUAUAGUAUGAGGAAAUUUAUAGAUUAUUGCAAAUGGUGUGUGCUAGCAAAUGACAAAGGGUAUAUCCUAAUUCUUGUAUACAAAUCAGGUUUUCAUCAGUAAUGUUAGAGGUAGAGAAUUAUUAAAAAACAGAUCAUUCUAAUUCUUUCAUGGGAUGGUAUAAUAUUACACACACCCUAAAAAUUCCAUUAGAAAAGAAUACUACACAUUAAGGAAAUAGUUAUAUGAUUUUAUGGCAAAAAUAGCUCAGCUUAGUUUUUUUCUAGAAAGUAAACUGUGUGUGUACUUGGAGUUGUACAGUUUACAGUAUAGAUGAUAUGGCUCCCCACUCCCAAAGUGUAACCUGGAUGGAUGCUAUCAGUAAGAGUUAACAUUUACUUUACUACUUACACUUGUACAUAAUUUAGAAUAUUUUUUAGCAUUAAUUUCCUCUUUAACAUUUUUAGGACAUUAAUAUUAAGAUACAGCAUUAGAAUGGAAGGUUACAUGAGCACAUGACUAGAGAGACACAGAUGUUGGGCAAGCAAUUAGGCAUAAAUAACAUUAAACACUCUGCUCCUUUUUUUCCCACAAUAGUAUAACUAGUCUCCUGAAGUCCAUCUCUCAGAAAAUGACACCUUUUAAACUUUAAAUCUAAAUUAACUUAGAAGUUCAUGGACACAUAUUAAUGCUGUUGCAUACAGAAUUGACUCAGAUGUGGAUUCAAGAUUACAGCCUUGAUGAGGAGGAAGGUAUAAGUAGGGAAUCAACAUUUUUAAAAAGUUCCCCAGGUGAUCCUAACAUAUAGCUAUGCACUAGCUUAUGGCCUCAGGGUCUUACCUUCUACCCCACAUUGUCUGCAAAGGAAUUGUGGUGCCAGGUUUUUUUAAAAUAAGAGAAAACAAGGUUGUCUCUAUUAUAACAGUGUAAAUUAUGACUUCUUAAAAAGCUACAAUUGAUUAUUACAAAAACAUUUUAUAGCCAUCCUGGAAGAGAAAAUAAUCUUCUACUUAAACAUAUAAUUCCUUAAUAAUCACUGGUUGACCAAAUAUUUCAUAUUUUAUUACAUAAUAAAGGCUCUGGGAAUUUUUACUUUUAAGGUGGGUAAUAAUGUCAGCUAAUAUUCUUAUAGCCACUCUUGAAAGGGUGAAAGCCAUAAACUUCGGGUCAGAUGUAUCUUCAACUUGGAGCAAAAUUAUACUCCUUUCUACUUUCACCCCAGUCUUUAGUAAUUGAUUUGACCUCUGGGAGAGGUAUUAGCAGUGCUUAUAAGCUGUUCUCUUUUUCUUUUUAGCUGCUUGACACCUCUUCACCUUCACUGACCAAAGUCUUCUGGGUGAUUCUAUAGCUACUGACAAUCACAGAAGACUGCCUUGAGAAGUCAUGUGGAGAAUAAAAAUCCAUUUCCUCCUCAACUUUGGGGGUAGAGUAGGGUGGUGGAUUAUGGAAUAUAUAUAUAUAUAUAGACACACACACAGUUUUGAAUAUAAAAAAGCAUAUUUUAGUAAAGUAUAAUAAAAAAGGAAUAAGAGUGAAUAAGUGCUAUAAAAGAUAUAAAAAGCAAUUAUACUUUAUACUGGUAGUGAAUAAAACUGAAAUACACGUAAUUUGAAUAGCCUGAAAAGUUUAACAUUAUACUUCUAUGUUUUAUAUUCAGAAGUUACCUGGGGGUGCCUGGAUGGCUCAAUCGGUUGAGUGUUGGACUACUGGUUUCAGCUCAGGUUAUGAUCUCAUGGUUUGUGAGCUAGAGUCCUGCGUGGGGGUCCGUGCUAGGCGGGGAGCCUGCUGAAGAUUCUCUCCCUCCCUCCUUCUUGUUCUCUUCCCCCACUUCAAAAAAAAAAAGUUAUCUCAAGAAAAAAUCCAAAUGCAAACUACAUACAUUAGUUAUGUCUAUGCUACUCCAAUUAGAAAGCCAGUGUGGUGCUGAGUGACAGGAGCGGGUGCGGAAUCCACGGCUUCUUUUCAGCGCUUUGUGUCUGACUGCUACACAGCUAGUUGCCCAGUUUCCACUCACAUUUUCCUGUUUGAUUGUAAGAGAGCGGGACUAAAUGGGAGUUACUCAUUAAGAUUCCAUUACAAAACUGUAUUUUCUACCACAUUCUAAAAUUUCCACAGACGACGGUGUAUAGUAGAGUACAUUUUAGGAAUGGGCUGCAUGAUUCUCUUGGAAAGAACACUGUACUCUUUAUACGAAAUCACCUCCAGGCACUUUUCACAUUUCCACGAAAAUAGCCAGCCAAGAAAUCUGAAACCCUAAAGUCAAAGGACAAGGUCUAAUUUUGGCUUUGUGUUGUCCUCUCAGCCUCUCUUGUCUGAAAUCCACAAUCCAGUUGCCCUAUUCAGUUUGGACUUUGGCUAAUAAUACUCAUAGUCUGCCCCUAAGAGAAAGACAAGAGAAUAUGGACUUAUUUGGGAAGAUGGAUGACAUAUUAUACAAUUUUAUGAAUUCCUCAAAAAGGUUAAACAUCCACUAUGUGCCAUGGACUAUGUUAAGUGGGACCAUUAAAGCAGAGACAAUUUGUCCCCAGUAAGGAGCACAGUACUUGACACAUGGUGCACUGAAGUGCCCUACAAUCCUCUCUGCCCAGAGAGAAGAAUGAAGCAUGAAGCCAAGAGAAAGAAAAGGACCUCCCUGCCUCCUCACAUACAGAUACGUACACGUACAGAUGAGCAUACGGAAACACAGAUCCCUGCAUCAUGACAUAUAUGCAGGCAUCCGUUCUCAAAGAAGAAAGGAGCGUUGCUGAAGUUCCCACGGGCUUUCCCGUUCCUGGUCCUACUCUCAAGAGAGAACUUCUGAUUUCCAAGAUGGGCAUGGAAUGUGAAUCUGGAGCCACUUGUUUUCUUGGAUGAAGGCCAGACAAAGGUGCAUCACAAUCCCAUAGCAAAGGAUGCCUCCAGUCAUGUUCUCUGACUUUUCUCCGUGAUGAAAACCACUUUCUCUGCCUACCCCACAACAGAGAAGUAAUUUGGAGAUACUCAUGUAAUCAUCACAUGAUCUUAUAAGAUGUUGUUAUUAUUCCUGUCUUCCAUGAGAGGAAAUGGAGGUGAAGAGAAAGAACUGACCUUCCCAAGGCCACACAGUUGGUAGUGAGAAAGCUGUGUUGAACGUGAGCAGUCCUUGUCCAGAGCCCAGACACUUCAAGCCACUACAUCACACCCCUCUUGUCAGCUAAAGGGAGAUCCUAAUCAUUACAAUGCAUUGCAGUGGACCAUGACGGUGCAUAAGAUACUAUGACGCUUGCUUCCAUUUUUUCAUGAUCUAGAGUUUGAGAAAGGUGCAUUGUGGCUUUACUCACACUGUAUGUCUGCUUAUAAAUUUUCACUGACUUUAUGUCACACUGCAGUAUGAAUCAUUUGAAACCAACCAGCCUAGUCUAUAUUUGUCAGUGUAAAUGUCAAGCACUCUAUAUUCUGAGCUUUUAUUUCAACACUCGAAUGCUUUAUCUAAUGUUAUUCUUCAUGGACAUACCACUAUAAUCAGUCAUGUUUGUUUGUUUAUU